AGAUUGAACUGAAGAGUUUGAUCCUGGCUCAGAUUGAACGCUGGCGGAAUGCUUUACACAUGCAAGUCGAACGGCAGCACGGGUGCUUGCACCUGGUGGCGAGUGGCGAACGGGUGAGUAAUGCGUCGGAACGUACCGAGUAAUGGGGGAUAACGCGGCGAAAGUCGCGCUAAUACCGCAUACGCCCUGAGGGGGAAAGUGGGGGACCGCAAGGCCUCACGUUAUUCGAGCGGCCGACGUCUGAUUAGCUAGUUGGUGAGGUAAUGGCUCACCAAGGCGACGAUCAGUAGCGGGUCUGAGAGGAUGAUCCGCCACACUGGGACUGAGACACGGCCCAGACUCCUACGGGAGGCAGCAGUGGGGAAUUUUGGACAAUGGGGGAAACCCUGAUCCAGCCAUUCCGCGUGAGUGAAGAAGGCCUUCGGGUUGUAAAGCUCUUUCAGCUGGAACGAAACGGUACGCGCUAACAUCGUGUGCUAAUGACGGUACCAGCAGAAGAAGCACCGGCUAACUACGUGCCAGCAGCCGCGGUAAUACGUAGGGUGCGAGCGUUAAUCGGAAUUACUGGGCGUAAAGCGUGCGCAGGCGGAUUAUUAAGCAAGACGUGAAAGCUCCGGGCUUAACCUGGGAAUG
This 633-nucleotide ribosomal RNA is filed under the name Thiobacillus sp. 65-1402. RNAcentral's name for it is "bacterial SSU rRNA". It matches the Rfam family "Bacterial small subunit ribosomal RNA", at positions 1 to 622 of the family's 1533-position model. Lineage: Bacteria; Pseudomonadati; Pseudomonadota; Betaproteobacteria; Nitrosomonadales; Thiobacillaceae. The record is from RNAcentral.